GUGAGGAAUAUUGGUCAAUGGGCGCAAGCCUGAACCAGCAACGCCGCGUGGGCGAUGAAGGCCUUCGGGUCGUAAAGCCCUUUUCUGGGGGAAGAGGAAGGACUGUACCCCAGGAAUAAGUCUCGGCUAACUACGUGCCAGCAGCCGCGGUAAAACGUAGGAGGCGAGCGUUAUCCGGAUUUACUGGGCGUAAAGCGCGCGCAGGCGGUUCUGUAAGUUGGACGUGAAAUCUUUCGGCUCAACCGGGAGGGGCCGUCCAAUACUGCAGGACUUGAGGUCGGGAGAGGGAAGUGGAAUUCCCGGAGUAGUGGUGGAAUGCGUAGAUAUCGGGAGGAACACCAGUGGCGAAAGCGGCUUCCUGGCCCGCACCUGACGCUAAGGCGCGAAAGCGUGGGGAGCGAACGGGAUUAGAAACCCUAGUAGUCC
RNAcentral lists this ribosomal RNA (426 nucleotides) under uncultured bacterium. RNAcentral's name for it is "bacterial SSU rRNA". It matches the Rfam family "Bacterial small subunit ribosomal RNA", at positions 354 to 796 of the family's 1533-position model. The record is from RNAcentral.